AUGGACACUAUAGAAGCGGUCAGCGAGAAUGCUUUGGAUGCAAUAGUAGACGUACAGGAUCUGGAGGAGGGUGAGAUUCCUCCGGAGCCUGAUCAUGUCCUCCAAGAGUUUCCAGUUACUCACAGCAAUAUCAUGCAUGAGCUUACGGCUGAUGGACUUGAUGAAAAGAUCUCAGUGAACAUGCUGCAGCGCAAGGGGGAGAGUGUAUCAUGGGAAGUUGUUGAAGAUCUCAAGGUGAUGAACAAAUGCGAAGGCAGUUCACCCAAGGCUGCUAGUAAACCUUCUGCUGAAGGUCCUCUGAAAGAACAUCUUGGGGAUACUACAGAAGCGGUCAGCAAGAAUGCUUUGGAUGUGAUAGUAGAGGUACAGGAAUUGGAAGAAGGUGAGAUUCGUACGGAGCCUGACCAUGUCCUCCAAGAGAACCCAGUUACUCACAACAAUAGCCUGCAUGAGCUUACAGCUGGUACCCUUGAGUGUGUUGUGCCGUCAAUGGUAGAUGCGGAACCUUCUGUGAGGCAUUUUUCUAAUGAGAAGAUCCCUGUGAACAUGCUGGAGCACAAGGGAGAGAGUGUAUCAUGGGAAGUUGCUGAAGAUCUCAAGGUGAUGAACAAAUGCGAAGGCAAUUCACCCAAGGGUGCAUGUAAACCUCCUCCUGAAGAUCCUCUGAAAGAAUAUCUUGGGGAUAAGAAAGUGUCUGAAAGUUGUAGCAUGAAAAGUGCACCUCUUGAUGUGGAAGCAGGGGUACAUGGCGACGGUAUCAUGAGACGUAUGGUAACAUUCACAGCUAGAAAACCUUCUCCUGAACAAGGCAAUCCAUCCAAGGGUGCUAGUAAACCUUCUCCUGAAGAUCCUCUGAAAGAAUAUCUUGGGGAUAAGGAAGUGUCUGAAAGUUAUAGCAUGAAAAGGGCAUCUCUUGAUGUGGCAGCAGGGGUACAUGGCGACGGUAUCAUGAGACGUAUGGUAUCAUUCACAGCUAGAAAAACAUUUCGGUUACCUGUUGAAGCAAAUCAUAAGUCCGCGCUGGUUAAUCUGGAUAGACCGUGUUCUAUGGGCAAGGAGAAGGAGUCCGUUGUCACUAUGAGCGAAUCCUUUGCUCCCAGGAAGAAGUUAAAGAUAAAAGGUCCAGCUCAAAGUAAAUAUCUUCCCAUGAAUACCAUUUCUAGCAAGGAAAAAUUGAAGCAUGAAGAGGCUUCCCACUUGGAAGAUGAUGAAGUUUUGAAUGCAAUAGCUGUUCAUGAAGGAAAGUUUGAGAUGUACCUCAAUGAUCCCUCAUGGCGUCACAUGCAACAUGGUGGUCAGACCGCUGAUGCUCGGAGCAAAGUCAGGAUGAUUUGCAGAAGGUUUCAGUUUAUAUGCAGGACUCUCGUUCAAGCUGUGGAACAAGGUUCGCUGAAGAGCCGUAGAAUUGAUCUUGCCGCUGAUAAGCUAAUCAGAAAAUUACCGGGCUUUACCAAGCAGGGGCCUAUUGUAGGUAAAGUUCCUGGUGUUGAAAUUGGUGAUGAAUGUUUAUACAGAGUAGAGUUGGCCAUUGUUGGUCUUCACCGCCCAUACCAAGGAGGCAUUGACACCACAAAGGAUAUUAAUGAUAUGCCUAUUGCCAUAAGCAUUGUUGCGUCUGGAGGUUACCCUGACGACUUGUCGAGCUCAGGUGAAAUAAUAUACACUGGCUCUGGAGGAAAGCCUGCUGGCAAAAAGGAGAAUGAGGAUCAAAAGCUUGUGCGCGGGAACCUUGCCCUGAAGAAUUGUAUCAAAACAAAGACGCCUGUCCGAGUAAUUCAUGGUUUUAAAGGUCCAAAUAGAGAGGAAGGUAGUCAUUCAAAGGCCAAAGAAGUCUCAGUAUUUACUUACGAUGGGCUCUAUCAUGUGGUGCAGUGCUGGCAAGAAGGUCUACCAGGUUCAAGGGUCUUCAAAUACAGGUUGCAGAGGAUUUCUGGACAACCAGAGUUACCUCUGCAUGUUGCUAAAGUGUUGAGAAAGUCUGCAGCGCGUCCUGGCCUAUGCAUAGCAGAUAUAUCGCAAGGGAAGGAGAAGAUCCCCAUCUGUGUGGUCAAUAAUAUUGAUGCUGCACAUCCAGCAUCAUUUAAAUACAUUACUAGAAUCAAAGGUUCAUCCUUAGCUGCAAAAAGAAGUCAUCAGGGUUGUGACUGCACCAAUGGCUGCUCAGAUUCUGCUAGCUGUGCUUGUGCUGUGAAGAAUGGAGGAGAAUUCCCAUUUAACUUCAAUGGUGCAGUUGUCCAUGCAAAGCCCCUCAUAUAUGAGUGUGGUCCAUCCUGUAGGUGCCCUCCUUCAUGCCAUAGCAGGGUCAGCCAGCAUGGUAUGAAAAUACCACUGGAAGUAUUCAGAACAACAAAGACAGGUUGGGGUGUAAGAUCCCUAAGGUCCAUCUCUGCUGGCAGCUUUAUAUGUGAGUAUGUUGGCGAGCUGUUGCAUAGCGACGAGGCUAACCAGAGAAUGAAUGACGAAUACUUGUUCGACAUAGGACAUAACUAUGAUAUCUGGAAAGGGAUGCCAUCAGUUGUUCCAGGUCUGAGUUCUUCUGCCCCUCGCUCUGUGAUCAUGGACGAUGAUAGGGCCUUCACAAUAGACGCAGCUGAGUAUGGUAAUAUUGGAAGAUUCAUCAACCAUAGCUGUUCACCAAACCUCUACGCACAAAAUAUUCUUUGGGACCAUGGCGAGAAAAGAGUGCCGCAUAUCAUGUUCUUUGCUGCUGAGAAUAUUUCACCUCUACAGGAGCUGACUUAUGACUAUAAUUACGAAAUAGAUCAUGUUCGUGACAUGAAUGGCGAAGUAAAAGUCAAAUACUGCCAUUGUGGUUCUCCACAGUGCCGCGACAGGCUUUAUUAA
RNAcentral lists this ribosomal RNA (2844 nucleotides) under Triticum aestivum (bread wheat). RNAcentral's name for it is "partial small subunit ribosomal RNA". The record is from RNAcentral. Lineage: Eukaryota; Viridiplantae; Streptophyta; Magnoliopsida; Poales; Poaceae.